AACGAACGCUGGCGGCGCGUCUUAAACAUGCAAGUCGAACGGCAGGAAGGGGCUUGCCCCUUCUGAGAGUGGCGGACUGGUGAGUAACACGUGGGUGACAUACCUUUUAGUUGGGGAUAGCUAUUAGAAAUAGUAGGUAAUACCGAAUGUGACCGUACCUGUUAGAGGGGUACGAGGAAAGGAGCUAAGGCUUCGCUAAAAGAAUGGCCCGCGGCCCAUUAUGCUCGUUGGUGAGGUAACGGCCCACCAAGGCGAUGAUGGGUAUCCGGCCUGAGAGGGUGAACGGACACAUUGGGACUGAGAUACGGCCCAGACUUCUACGGGAGGCAGCAGUGAAGAAUAUUCAGCAAUGGACGAAAGUCUGACGGAGCGACGCCGCGUGGAUGAAGAAUGCCGAAAGGUUGUAAAAUCCUUUUAAGCCUGAUGAAUAAGCACAGUAGGGAAUGAUUGUGCGGUGACCGUAGGGCUUGAAUAAGCACCGGCUAAUUACGUG
This 493-nucleotide ribosomal RNA is filed under the name uncultured bacterium. RNAcentral's name for it is "partial 16S ribosomal RNA". It matches the Rfam family "Bacterial small subunit ribosomal RNA", at positions 29 to 507 of the family's 1533-position model. The record is from RNAcentral.